ACUUCUCAAGUGGCAGAAUUUCGUCAUGCUUUUCUGGAUGCCGAUGAGAAGUGCCGAGAUGCGCUCUUCCUCAAUAGGGUGCUGACGGAGGAGGCAGCGAGGGCCAAGGAGGCAAAUGA
This 119-nucleotide non-coding RNA is filed under the name Paraphysomonas imperforata. Lineage: Eukaryota; Chrysophyceae; Chromulinales; Paraphysomonadaceae. The record is from RNAcentral.